RNAcentral lists this ribosomal RNA (559 nucleotides) under uncultured bacterium. Its description in RNAcentral is "bacterial SSU rRNA". It matches the Rfam family "Bacterial small subunit ribosomal RNA", at positions 120 to 674 of the family's 1533-position model. The record is from RNAcentral.
GGGAAACUGCCUGAUGGAGGGGGAUAACUACUGGAAACGGUAGCUAAUACCGCAUAACGUCGCAAGACCAAAGAGGGGGACCUUCGGGCCUCUUGCCAUCAGAUGUGCCCAGAUGGGAUUAGCUAGUAGGUGGGGUAACGGCUCACCUAGGCGACGAUCCCUAGCUGGUCUGAGAGGAUGACCAGCCACACUGGAACUGAGACACGGUCCAGACUCCUACGGGAGGCAGCAGUGGGGAAUAUUGCACAAUGGGCGCAAGCCUGAUGCAGCCAUGCCGCGUGUAUGAAGAAGGCCUUCGGGUUGUAAAGUACUUUCAGCGGGGAGGAAGGCGAGAAGGUUAAUAACCUUGUCGAUUGACGUUACCCGCAGAAGAAGCACCGGCUAACUCCGUGCCAGCAGCCGCGGUAAUACGGAGGGUGCAAGCGUUAAUCGGAAUUACUGGGCGUAAAGCGCACGCAGGCGGUCUGUCAAGUCGGAUGUGAAAUCCCCGGGCUCAACCUGGGAACUGCAUUCGAAACUGGCAGGCUGGAGUCUUGUAGAGGGGGGUAGAAUUCCAGGU